AUCCUUAGUUUUCUAAGACGCACGUAUAGUCUUUCUGUAGUUUUCUUUUUCAUUUUCACUCUCUCUCGUCUCUCUACCUCUCUCAAUCAGAUCACGACGGUGUUUAGGCCGGAGAAAUUGUAGAUUUCAGAUUUGCAUUUAGGAACGAAUCUUAUCAGUCCAGCAAGGAGAAGGAGAAGAAGAAAAUAAUAAUGAUGAUGAUAUCAAGGGAGAAAAUGACGAUGGAACCGGUAUUCAGAAAUAUGAAAAUGAAAUUGAAAUUGAAAUUGAAAUUGAAGAGAAGAAAAAGAAGAAGAAAAAGAAGAAGAAGAUGAUGAUGAUGAUGGGAGGUCUCGACAAGGUAACAACAAUAAAACCCUAGAGAUUCUUUGACUGGUUAUCAUCAAACGGUUCCAAUUCAGGUAUCAAAGGUUCAGAAUGGUAUAUAUUUACGAGUUAGAAGACAAGGAGGGAGAAGAAGAGGAGCAAGUGAAUUCAUGUCCGCCGGUUCAACCAAUAGAAACAAGAAAUUUGCUACUAAAUUUUGCUGAUGAGCAUCCAACUAGCAUCAGCAAUAGCAAGAGGAUGUUUGCUGAUAUGGGUCAUCUCUCAAGGGAUCAUCUUGGCGAGCAAGAGAAGGAACAAGUCAAUCUCAACCUGGGGCUGCAUUUAGCUUCCCAUCCCCAUUCAGUUUGUCCAGCCUAUGUUGCUUCUGAAGUCGGGGCUUUAAAGAGGUUGGGCAGGGUACUAAUAAUCAUGGUGAAUUAUCCAAGGGAGAGGAACAAAGCAGAGGCAAAAAGAGGUUUGCUGGCGUUCUUGGUGAAGCAGAUCUCGAGUUAGGGCUGCCAAAAGCUUCCAAAAGCUUCCAAGCACGAUUCAGGCCACAGAUUCUCAGAAGUGCUAAGUUGUCCUGCCCAUCAAGUGUCAUCAUCUCUGACUCAUCAGAGGGUUCACCCUUCCUGUCCCCAUAUAGAUCAUCUUGGAGUACCACCUGCACUAUUUCAACCGGGAUUUGGUUUACGGUUCCUCCCCAAGGACCAUGAGGUUAUCCUAUGGUACCUAAACAAGAAAAUAGAGAGACCUACAGAAUAUGCAGUAUGGUUUUUACCAGUUAUAACAGAUCUCUAUCAGCAUCAUCCCCAGUAUAUCUUGCAGCGCGCAGCUAAGGAUGAUAUAUAUUUUUUCUGUGAAAGUGCGAAUACAUACCAUGUGAGCAGAACUGUCAGUGAUCUAGGUACUUAUAAGAUGGAUGGUCGGGGUCCUGUGUUUGCAGAGAACACUCAAGAGGUUAUCGGAGAAAAAACUCAUCUGAAUUUCAGAGUGAAAGGCACGGACAAAUCAUCAAAAUGGGUUAUUAAAAGAGUACAUAAGCAAGAAGCAGCCCUCCACCACCACCAACAACAAAAUUUGGAUAGUAUGCCACCUCUACGAAAACAAGACAAGAAAGUAUUAGUCCUGAGUCUGAUGUGUAAUGAUGACUGUUAGCUGUUAAAGUCCUUCUUGACAUAUAAGACGAUAAAGUUGAAAUAAAAGAUUUCAAAUUUGUAAUUUUUGCUUUUCUGGAUUUUUUUAUUGUAUGCUUUUUUCUUCU
Molecule: long non-coding RNA, 1570 nt
Organism: Papaver somniferum (opium poppy)
Lineage: Eukaryota; Viridiplantae; Streptophyta; Magnoliopsida; Ranunculales; Papaveraceae
Exons: 8
Source: RefSeq, a predicted model, not a curated record